AUUGAAUUGGCAGAUUAGUGUGUUAAAUUUAGGUUUUAAUUAAGUAUAUAUUAUACAUUCAAUA
This 64-nucleotide transfer RNA is filed under the name Nabicerus dentimus. RNAcentral describes it as "tRNA-Leu". Lineage: Eukaryota; Metazoa; Arthropoda; Insecta; Hemiptera; Cicadellidae. RNAcentral also lists the same sequence under 1 other name. The record is from RNAcentral.